GAUGAACGCUGGCGGCGUGCCUAAUACAUGCAAGUCGAACGCUUCUUCCAUCCCGUGUCCUUGCUCUCAUUUGGGACGGGGGGUGGCGGACGGGUGAGUAAACCGUGCGUAACCUACCCAUCAACGGCGGAUAACACUUGGAAAUAGGUGCUAAUAUAGCAUACCAGUUUAUGCCACAUGGAAUAAGAGUGUUACGCGCUCUCGGGUGUCGCUGCUGGCUGGAUCCGCGGUGCAUUAGCUAGUUGGUGAGGUAACGGCUCACCAAGGCCACGACGCAUAGCCGACCUGAGAGGGUGAUCGGCCACACUGGGACUGAGACACGGCCCAGACUCCUACGGGAGGCAGCAGUAGGGAAUCUUCGGCAAUGGGCGAAAGUCUGACCGAGCAACGCCGCGUGAGUGAAGAAGGUUUUCGGAUCGUAAAACUCUGUUAUUAGGGAAGAACAAGGGCGUAAGUAACUAAGCGCGCCCUGACGGUAUCUAACCAGAAAGCCACGGCUAACUACGUG
Molecule: ribosomal RNA, 508 nt
Filed under: uncultured bacterium
Lineage: Bacteria
Description: partial 16S ribosomal RNA
Rfam family: Bacterial small subunit ribosomal RNA
Source: RNAcentral